Molecule: ribosomal RNA, 509 nt
Filed under: uncultured Bacteroidales bacterium
Lineage: Bacteria; Pseudomonadati; Bacteroidota; Bacteroidia; Bacteroidales
Description: partial 16S ribosomal RNA
Source: RNAcentral
CACGUAGUUAGCCGAUGCUUUUUCUUCGGAUACACGCAGUCCGGGACACGUCCCGGGUUUUGUUCUCCGACAAAAGAGGUUUACAACCCAUAGGGCCGUCUUCCCUCACGCGGCUUGGCUGGUUCAGGAUCUCUCCCAUUGACCAAUAUUCCUCACUGCUGCCUCCCGUAGGAGUCUGGUCCGUGUCUCAGUACCAGUGUGGGGGACCUUCCUCUCAGAACCCCUACGCAUCGUCGCCACGGUGGGCCGUUACCCCGCCGUCAAGCUAAUGCGCCGCAUGCCCAUCCCCUUCCGAUGAAUCUUUCCUCGAUCUCGGAUGCCCGAAACCGAUAUACGCGGGAUUAGCCUCCCUUUCGGAAGGUUGUCCCCCUGAAGAGGGCAGGUUGCAUACGUGUUACUCACCCGUGCGCCGGUCGCCGGCAAGGAAAGCAAGCUUUCCUCCCGAUGCCCCUCGACUUGCAUGUGUUAAGCCUGCCGCUAGCGUUCAUCCUGAGCCAGGAUCAAACUCU